This 492-nucleotide ribosomal RNA is filed under the name uncultured bacterium. RNAcentral's name for it is "partial 16S ribosomal RNA". It matches the Rfam family "Bacterial small subunit ribosomal RNA", at positions 29 to 507 of the family's 1533-position model. The record is from RNAcentral.
AGUGAACGCUGGCGGUAGGCCCAACACAUGCAAGUCGAACGGCAGCACAGUAAGAGCUUGCUCUUACGGGUGGCGAGUGGCGGACGGGUGAGGAAUACAUCGGAAUCUACUUUUUCGUGGGGGAUAACGUAGGGAGACUUACGCUAAUACCGCAUACGACCUACGGGUGAAAGCAGGGGAUCUUCGGACCUUGCGCGAUUGAAUGAGCCGAUGUCGGAUUAGCUAGUUGGCGGGGUAAAGGCCCACCAAGGCGACGAUCCGUAGCUGGCCUGAGAGGAUGAUCAGCCACACUGGAACUGAGACACGGUCCAGACUCCUACGGGAGGCAGCAGUGGGGAAUAUUGGACAAUGGGCGCAAGCCUGAUCCAGCCAUACCGCGUGGGUGAAGAAGGCCUUCGGGUUGUAAAGCCCUUUUGUUGGGAAAGAAAAGCAGCAGGUUAAUACCCCGCUGUUCUGACGGUACCCAAAGAAUAAGCACCGGCUAACUUCGUG